GGUUCUCUGGCUGCCAUGGCACUCAAUCAAACCACCUAGAAUGGACUGGCCGAGACCAGACUGGGUACCAAGCAGAGAAGUGCAGAGGAAGGCACUGGGAGAGCACCAGGUAAACUGAAGGCUACUUGUCACUCCCACUUGUGCCCAAAGAGCCUUGCCACAUCUUCCCUCCUCACUGGAAAGACAGCACUCUUCUUCUGUGUUAAGUAUUCGGUUUUGUGAUUUGUCUUUCAGAACUGGAAAUAGAGCGGCCAUUUGGAUUUGGGCAGGAAGCAGCCGAGCACAGCUUUGGAUCCUUCUUUAGGGAAAUCGAGUUAUGGAUUUAUGGUCCCGGUCAAGCUCAGCCCAUCCCCAGCCAGGGGCGGGCUCAGCGAGCAGCAAGAGUUCUGGUGGUGGCGUCGGCGGCAGUAGCAGCGGCAGCGGUAGCAGCGGCAGCGGCAGCCUGGUCCUCUGACUCUCUUCGGUGACGGGUAUUCUUGGGUGGAUAAUACGGAUUACGUUGUUAUUGCUUAAGAAUACGCGUAGUCGAGGAGAGUACCAGCGGCAGGGGGGCAGCGGCCGCCCUCCCCAGCCCACCAGCUGGCCACUAAACGCCCGUGGUUGCCAAGGACGAGUCUCAAACACCAACAACUCAAGACACGUCCCCCUCUCAGGUCAGCUGCGAAGGGACGGGAGCAAGAGAGAGCCUCCCCCUCCUUCUACUUCCAGUUUUUCUGUUUGUUUGUUUCAAAUAUUAAUGGACGAUGAAACAGCACGGAUUUUUCACCUCCUAGAGAAGAAAAAGCCAUGGCCACCAAUCCCCUCAAACAUGCACUCCUGGGGACAAUCCUGGGGACUCCUGGGGACAAUCGCACUUGGCAGAAGUUGGCAUGUCCAAGAUGGGGCUGGAAGGAUGACCCAGAGUGGAAGGCGCGGGCCAGGGCUCCAGGUCUCAGCUCUCCCGGCGUCGGACCACACAGCUUUGCCACCUUUGCACCUGGCCUUUCCCUCUUGUGAGCCAUUUGGGACCGUCCCAUAGAGGCGCUUCAAAGAUGGGAGGACUGAGUACUGGGGACUAGAACGUACCGGGCACCCAGAAGAUUCUACUAGUGCGGCCAUACACUAAGCAGGUUUCCUCCCUGCGUGGUGAUCGUUGGUUAUGCACGGGCUGCGCAAGAAGACUGAAUUCUUGUUAAGUGAAAACUACAGGAGAAAAAUCAAAUAAACUUAGAGUCCUGAGAAGCUCUCCCUCUCGUCGCUGUGGGACCGCUCUAAGCUGAGUUGCAACUCUGACACCUUCUCCCCCUGGAGGACAGGCCUUUCCCAGUCACGAAGUGAAUGUGCCCCUCUGGGCUCUUGCCCACAGGAACAGUCUGAACCCUGGAGAGACUGACAACGAGGUGACUUCAAGGAGGCAGAACACUCUCAUGCUUCCCCAUCUAGGGUUUCGCCUUUCUUCUAAUAUUUAGGAUUCCCAGUGAAGGGUACUCCACAUACACCCUCUCCCUACCCCUAAUCCCCCUCCAUUGUGUCUGAUCCCACAAUUUCUCCCAGGAUAUCUCUACUCAGAGCUUUUGCGCUCAGUGAACGUUGUUGUCUGCAGGGAAAACGGGUGGAGCCCUUCUCA
Callithrix jacchus (white-tufted-ear marmoset) is the source of this 1606-nucleotide long non-coding RNA. The record is from Ensembl. Lineage: Eukaryota; Metazoa; Chordata; Mammalia; Primates; Cebidae.